Molecule: non-coding RNA, 111 nt
Organism: Bombyx mori (domestic silkworm)
Lineage: Eukaryota; Metazoa; Arthropoda; Insecta; Lepidoptera; Bombycidae
Source: RefSeq, marked provisional
CGCCCGCGCGGCUGCGACGGACUAGACGCGCAUUUUCCUCGGGCUGCUGUUGAACCUUGCGCAGUUUCAGUUAUUUGUUUAGUUAUUGUUUUAGUUAUUACGUUGUGGGGG